This 1165-nucleotide long non-coding RNA is filed under the name Equus asinus (donkey). Its description in RNAcentral is "lncRNA (ENSEASG00005036413.1)". Lineage: Eukaryota; Metazoa; Chordata; Mammalia; Perissodactyla; Equidae. The record is from RNAcentral.
GUGGGCACGCAGUGGCGCCCCAGGCUCCGCCGACGCGAGCCGCCCGCCGCGACCGGGGGACGUCGGGCAUCCCCGGGAAGUGGAGCCGGGGCGGGGGCCCGGGCGGGGGCGGGCCAAUUUCUGGGCCCGCUGCUUGGAGGAGCCCUUCUAGCUAAGAUGCGACGGAGGGGGGAUCGUGCGACCAGUGCCGAGCCCCGGCUCCCUGGGGACACGGCCUGAGGGCGGGGCCCCCCAGCGCCGAGCUGGGGAAGCGCCCAGCCCGCGCCUGGGCUGUAGCGGGGAGAGGCGGCGGAGGCGGCAGAAGUUCGGGUGCCACAGUCUGGCCCGAUCGGCUACUGGGAAGUCCCACAGGGGAACAUCGGCCAGGGGAUCGCCAGCUCUGCGGCAGAAAUGACCACCUUUCCAAGAUGGCGACUCCCGUAGAGACACUCCCAAGGGGACAGCCAUGUUAGUUGCUUGACUAAGUCACUAAAGAAAAUUUGAAAGCCCGCCUCUCCUCCGACACACACACACACGCUCGCACUAACACACCGGUUUCUUGGUGCCUCUGCGGAGUCCCUGGGCCAGACCCCAUAGUGAAGGCUGCAGGAUCUUCCUUCUGGCCCCAGCAGCUCUGGCUGAGUCCACAGGUGCCCGCCUGGCUUCAAGCUUCUGGGAAGAGCGGAGUUGUCAACAAGAGAGCCGGAGGGCUGAGGCCCGGUGGGAACAUGCCAGCUAACCGGAGCUCUCCCCAGUGGUCCUCAGCCCUGGCUGCAGAGAAACAUGGCAGCUUGUGUAAGAUGAAUAAAAUGCCCUGAGAAGGGACAUGACUUGCCCUGCCACCCAGAUCGUGAGUGACAGCAUUGGAGUGGAACCAGGUCUUCUGAAUGUGUCCCCCACCCUCACCACACUACAGCCAAGACCAAGUUUCCCACUGAAAAUUCCCCUCGAGAUUCUGUAAACAGAGGAAGACGAUGAGAGAGCCAGACCCUGCCCGACAGCUCCCUCCUUCUGACCUUCCUGUGGAUGCUGUCACCUCUGGCGACAGGCUGAUUGUCACAAGGACUCAGGGCCAUGUGGUCAUUAACAUAAUAUUACACUUUUAAAAAUUAUUUUGAUUUUUUUUAAAGAUUUUAUUUUUUUCCUUUUUCUCCCGGAAGUCCCCCAGCACAUAGUUGUAUAUUCU